This 717-nucleotide long non-coding RNA is filed under the name Monodelphis domestica (gray short-tailed opossum). RNAcentral describes it as "lncRNA (ENSMODG00000045875.1)". The record is from RNAcentral. Lineage: Eukaryota; Metazoa; Chordata; Mammalia; Didelphimorphia; Didelphidae.
CUUGUUUAAUAUCAUGUAGCUAGUAAUCAGUUGGCCCGAAUGUCUUCUGACUUCAAAUCCACUGUUCUUUUUUAGACCCUUAUCUUCUGUCUUGAAAUCAAUACUUUGUUUUAGUUCUGAGGCAGAAGAGUGGGAAGGGCUAGGCAAUGGGAGUCACACAGCUAGCCCUGGCUCUUAAUCUACUGUGCCAACUACCUGCCACCUCAAGUCUACUGAUGUACGCAGAAUACCAUGGUAUCUCAAAAUAGAAAAUUGAAGCUUAAAGGGCUGUAUACUGUAAUCCAUGGAUGAGAAAAUCCCUUCAGAUGGUCUCAAGCUCUUCACGUCAAAUUGAUCUUUGACAGGAUUCCUUUUUUUCCAAAUAAGGUGUGGGACUACAUGAUCUUUGGUACUAAAGAACUAUUACAGAAAAUGCAAACUACUCUUCCCAUUCUCCCCAGCAGUAGAAGGAGGAGACAGGACAAGCCCGAACAGGCCUAGAUGGUCAGGCCUAGAGACAGGAGUUCCAAUUUGACCUCAGACAUUUUCUAACUGUGUAACUCUGGACAAAUCACUUAAUUCUCAUUGCCUAGGCCUUACCACUCUUCUGCCUUAUAACCAAUAUACGGUAUUGUUUCCAAGACAAAAGGUAAGGGAUUAAAAAAAUAGUCAUGGCAGGGGUGGCACAGCUAGUUGUCUCAGUGGAGAGGAAGUCAGGACUAAAGGUGGAGCUCAUGG